UAAUUUCUCAUUGCAGUCUUUGCAUCAAACAUCCAAAUUUAUUUGGGACAAGUGAGAAGCUUGAUGUGUCAUGGGAUGAGGGCCAGUAUGAUUCUAAUGUUUUACUGGCUUAUAAGAAGACCAAGACCCGAACGGCUAGCUUAACAGUCCUUUGUAGUACGGGUUAUUUUUUUCUCUCUUCUUUUUGUGUUAUUAUCUCGGUUAUGAGUAGGCAUGGAUCUGAAUGAGCCUUCAAGUUCCAAAUGGAGUAGCACAACUAGCAUAAAGUUCAAGCAUGUCCGACCAUUGAAUUGUAAUGGCCGCUCUGUGAGCCGAGAUUUUGAUGGGUUUCCUGUCACUUGCCGGUAAUCUCGAUUUUGAGAACUUAGUUUCCAAAUUUGUUUGACUAAUCUUUUCACAUUGUAAGAUGAUAAUCCUGCGGUGGAAGUCCCCAUGACAGUAUGAUAGUUCAAAUUGUGAUCUUUAAUGUGAAAGAUUAUAUGUGAAACUAGCAGGUAGUUUGUCUUGAAUGCAGUUCAGUCUGCAGAUAGAACAUGGGAUACCAGUUCUAUCUCAGUGGCUAAUAUUCAACAAGUUUAAAUUCGUUGUAUCAAAGGGAGUCAAACUUGGGCCGCAUUUCUCUUGACAAGGUGAUUGAGCAAGAGUGCAUGUAAAAUGUGGGGUGGAAGUGAGUCUGCAUGAAGCAUUUGACAUGAAUUAGAUCUAAUAAUCUUGAAUGAUACCGUAAUCCCAUUUGGAUUUGAUUUCCAUUUCCCUAUUGAAGAAGGUUUCGUAAUGUUUUGGUAAUUAGAUCCCAAUUUAGAUUAGUUUUCCUAAUUAGCGAACCCUCUAUCAUGGCUAUAUGAGGAGAGUUGAUGUACUUGUUUACAGGAACUAGGAUCCGCAACCAAGAUGGAAUAAUAUUCAGUAUUCUACUACAAAGAUGAGCGGGAAUACUCCAGAGAGAGAGUGAGCGGAGAGCAAAACAAUUGUAUUCCACUCAAGGUGUUAGAGUGUGAGAAUAUGUAAGGGAAAAGCGUGUGAGAGAGAGAAGAAAAGAGAUAAGAGAGUUUCCUUAUAUCCUUGUUUUCUUGUUCUUGUGCUUUCUAGUUGUUCAUCGAGCCUUAAACGUAAAGGUUUGAAAAGAAAUUUUAUUGUUCACAUUAUUAAUAUAGUGGAGAUUUGUUGUACUCAGCCGUGGGUGCAGGCGCAUACCUGAAUUUAUCAUUAACUUUUGGGUUCGAGUUAGUUUUUCUCUUUCUUAAACAAUUUCACAGCAGGAACUUCAUUAGUUCCACUUGGUGAUUCAGAAGCACAAGCCUGCGUAUCUACGUGCUUUGUAUAACUUAUGGAUAAUUGAACCUUGUUGUAUCUGUGAUUCCCAUACUUUUUCCUCAGACAGAAUGACAGGUGGUUCCACUGUAGGGGACAUGGCUCCUUACCAAGCAUUUGCAGUUGGAGGUCUUGGCAGUGUAUGAGGUUACAGUGAAGGAGCAGUGGGAUCUACUAUUUAGAACAAGAUGGUGGAAGGUUCUGUUUUCUUGGACUUUGAAACUGAUUUGGGGUCUUCUCAUCAUGUCCCUAAAAACAGUCUAUUUUGGCAUCAGCAACCUCGCUUCAUGAGUGCAACAAGACCGAAGAAGCUGAAGAUUUCACACUUUUUCCGUCUUCAUAUCCUCUUUUCUAGCCACAGAGCAAUGAGGCAGCAUGUGUACCCCCAUGGCAUUCGUUACUGAUCGAGUUUUGGCUUCUGCAGAAUGUUCAAGCUACAGCUAUCCAAGUUGUUCCUCUCCCCAGUUCAGGUUCUGAUUAUUCUUUAACACAUACCGAACAUUUCUUUUUUGAUUCGGAAAAGGAAUUUGUUUGUGCAAAUAUACAUCACCCAGUUAUAGAAGAUCGUUUAAUGCGUAUUAAUUUUCUUUGUGAUCUCGUGCUAUGAAAAUUUGUAUGGAAAGAUUUCAUCUGAAGAAGAGGUAAUGAAGUUGUUCAUUUUGAUUGUA
Non-coding RNA from Malus domestica (apple), 1979 nucleotides. NCBI's taxonomy places the organism in Eukaryota, Viridiplantae, Streptophyta, Magnoliopsida, Rosales, Rosaceae. The record is from RefSeq and is a predicted model, not a curated record.